Molecule: ribosomal RNA, 468 nt
Filed under: uncultured bacterium
Lineage: Bacteria
Description: partial 16S ribosomal RNA
Rfam family: Bacterial small subunit ribosomal RNA
Source: RNAcentral
GACGAACGCUGGCGGCGUGCUUAACACAUGCAAGUCGAACGGAAAGGCCCUGCUUUUGUGGGGUGCUCGAGUGGCGAACGGGUGAGUAACACGUGAGUAACCUGCCCUUGACUUUGGGAUAACUUCAGGAAACUGGGGCUAAUACCGGAUAGGAGCUCCUGCUGCAUGGUGGGGGUUGGAGAGUUUCGGCGGUUGGGGAUGGACUCGCGGCUUAUCAGCUUGUUGGUGGGGUAGUGGCUUACCAAGGCUUUGACGGGUAGGCGGCCUGAGAGGGUGACCGGCCACAUUGGGACUGAGAUACGGCCCAGACUCCUACGGGGGGCAGCAGUGGGGAAUAUUGCACAGUGGGCGGAAGCCUGAUGCAGCAGCGCCGCGUGCGGGAUGACGGCCUUCGGGUUGUAAACCGCUUGCGCCUGUGACGAAGCGUGAGUGACGGUAAUGGGUGAAGAAGCACCGGCUAACUACGUG